UACAGAGGUCCCAAGCGUUGUUCGGAAUCACUGGGCGUAAAGGGUGCGUAGGCGGUAGUGUAAGACUUAGGUGAAAUCUCCAUGCUUAACGUGGAGCUCGCCUGGGAGACUGCAUUACUUGAGGAUUGGAGGGGAGACUGGAAUUCCAUGUGUAGCGGUGAAAUGCGCAGAUAUGUGGAGGAACACCGGUGGCGAAGGCGGCCUCCUGGACCAUUCCUGACAUUCAGACGCGAAAGCUAGGGUAGCAAACGGGAUUAGAUA
RNAcentral lists this ribosomal RNA (261 nucleotides) under uncultured prokaryote. RNAcentral's name for it is "partial 16S ribosomal RNA". It matches the Rfam family "Bacterial small subunit ribosomal RNA", at positions 524 to 784 of the family's 1533-position model. The record is from RNAcentral.